This 253-nucleotide unclassified non-coding RNA is filed under the name uncultured Nocardiopsaceae bacterium. RNAcentral's name for it is "contains 16S-23S intergenic spacer region". It matches the Rfam family "Bacterial small subunit ribosomal RNA", at positions 524 to 776 of the family's 1533-position model. Lineage: Bacteria; Bacillati; Actinomycetota; Actinomycetes; Streptosporangiales; Nocardiopsidaceae. The record is from RNAcentral.
UACGUAGGGUCCGAGCGUUGUCCGGAAUUAUUGGGCGUAAAGAGCUCGUAGGCGGCGUGUCGCGUCUGCUGUGAAAGCCCGCGGCUUAACUGUGGGUGGGCAGUGGAUACGGGCAUGCUUGAGGUAGGUAGGGGAGACUGGAAUUCCUGGUGUAGCGGUGAAAUGCGCAGAUAUCAGGAGGAACACCGGUGGCGAAGGCGGGUCUCUGGGCCUUACCUGACGCUGAGGAGCGAAAGCGUGGGUAGCGAACAGG